This 392-nucleotide ribosomal RNA is filed under the name uncultured bacterium. Its description in RNAcentral is "partial 16S ribosomal RNA". It matches the Rfam family "Bacterial small subunit ribosomal RNA", at positions 523 to 918 of the family's 1533-position model. The record is from RNAcentral.
AUACGGAGGAUCCGAGCGUUAUCCGGAUUUAUUGGGUUUAAAGGGUGCGCAGGCGGCCAUUUAAGUCAGCGGUUAAAUCGUGGGGCUCAACCCCAUUCUGCCGUUGAUACUGGGUGGCUUGAUUGCGGUCGAGGUUGGCGGAAUUCGUUGUGUAGCGGUGGAAUGCGUAGAUAUGACGAAGAACACCGAUUGCGUAGGCAGCUGACCAGACCGCAAAUGACGCUCAUGCACGAAAGUGCGGGGAUCGAACAGGAUUAGAUACCCUGGUAGUCCGCACAGUAAACGAUGAAUACUUGUUUUCGGCGAUAUAAUGUCGGAGGCAAAGCGAAAGCGAUAAGUAUUCCACCUGGGGAGUACGCCGGCAACGGUGAAACUCAAAGGAAUUGACGGGG